GGCUGCAGAGAGCAAAAUGGGCCAUCUAGCAAAUGCAGUGGGUCCCCUCCAUACUCAGACACCCCAGCUGGUCUGAAUUAGAGGUGUCCAGGUGGCACAUGCUGUAAUAUUUGCUUUCCACCUGGGAUCUUCUCUUAUCAGACUGUGAUUGAAAGCCAAGUCCAUUUGCUGUAAGCAGCCAGGAUGUUCCUAGGGAAUCGGUGCUGCUCACAGCCAGGUGAGUCUGACCUACACAGACUCCCAGGAUCCAUGGGGGCAUUUAUUUCCUGUUUGUCCACCUUGGGUGAAAAAAAAGUAGGUCUGUGCAAGCCAGGGUGUAACAGUUUGCCAAGGGUCUGUCCACGUGCAAGAAUACCUGACCCCUGCAAGGCGAGGUCAGGUCUGGAAGCUGGUGAUGGGUGGGGUCACACUGCACGGAGUGUGACCUCAUCUCCAGACAGAGGAGCAGAACUGACCCGUGCCAAGAUGGGCAGCAGAGGCACAGUACUUUCUUGCUCUGCACUCCUCACAGGCACGAUCUCAGUGUGAUCAGUUACUCCUUAGCAGAAACCUGAAUGUCAACAAACAGAUAAAAAAAAUCCCAGCAGCAUGCAGGUUUCCUAUCUAUGCAUAAGUCAGAAGAAACCUCCAUCCUUAAGGCUCAGGGGGAACCUCAUCACUGUGUACAAAGCUACCUACGGAGAGGGUAUAAAGAGGACGGAGCCAGGCUCUUCUCAGGGUGCGCAGUGCCAGGACAGGAGGCAACGGGGAUAAACUGGAACACAGGAGGUUCCCUCUGACCAUCAGGAAAUGCUUCUGUGUUGUGCAGGUGACAGAGCAUUGGCACAGAGAUCAGAGAGCCCCGGGAAGCAGCAGGCUCAGCGUGUGGGCAGAGCUAUCACAUCCAGGAAGCUUCACCAGCCGCCUCCGUGCCCGGGGAACUCUGCAGCCCCUCCAGCACUGACGUGGCCGUGGCCAAGGACAUGCAGGCAGACUGCGCAUCCCACGCCGAGCUGUUCCUGCUGCCCAAACUUCCUCAGAUCUAGGUCACUGCCUCUCCCCCUGCCAUCGUCAGAAGUGGAGAAUAACUCACUGCCUUCAUUUGUGUCAUUACGUUGGAGGUAUUUAUAGUGCGUGAUCAGUGCCCUUAAAGAAUUCUCUCUCCUGAACUCCACAGACUGCACUGCCUCAGUGUCUUCUCCCUGCCUGUGCCGAUGGCUGCACUGUGUUUGCUGACCUCUUGUAUUUUGUUUGGUGAUUUCCAUCCACAGACUUCAGGGCAAGAGCUCUCUCCAUUUCACCCCAGAUGCUCCGCUGGUCUCCAUGUCUUUGUAGGCAGUCUGAUCCUCAGGUACAGGGACAUGGCAGGGAUUGUGACUGCAGGUUCAGCUCUCUGCUUGCUGGAUAUUAAAUCGUUCUGUUUCCUGGCACAUCCCACACAGAUGAGAGGCUUAUCCAGAACAGGGGGACAUGUUUCUUUGCAGAGCAAGAACAGCUGAAGCACGUGGUGAGGUGACAGCGCAGACAUCCAAAGUCUGGAUAGGCCACCACAACUCCAGCUGUGUUCCUCCAGAUUUUGGGGACAGGAUGGAUCUAAGCGGCUGCCUGGAUUAGCACGAGGGUGGAUUUCUCCCCGCGGUUUCUGAUUUGGGCCGUGUUACUGUGCAUGGACGCCCUGAGCUUCCAGUGGGAACCACUCAUCCCUUGUGCCCAUGGUGGAACCCACUCGGAACCAAGGCAGGAGGAUAUGUGCUACCCCAUCCACCCAGGGCUGCCACCAGCCUUGUUCCUGAGGAACCACACAGUACCUCUGAGCCAUUCCCCUGGCUAAAAAAAUGCCACUGCAGUGCAAAGUGCCUCUUUCAAAGAAGACUGUGCCCGGUGCUGCCUCCGCUGCCCGGAGUUAAGCAUG
Molecule: long non-coding RNA, 1891 nt
Organism: Gallus gallus (chicken)
Lineage: Eukaryota; Metazoa; Chordata; Aves; Galliformes; Phasianidae
Exons: 2
Source: RefSeq, a predicted model, not a curated record